RNAcentral lists this transfer RNA (94 nucleotides) under Candidatus Aminicenantes bacterium ADurb.Bin508. RNAcentral's name for it is "tRNA-Ser". It matches the Rfam family "tRNA". Rfam says of the family: Transfer RNA (tRNA) molecules are approximately 80 nucleotides in length. Lineage: Bacteria; Candidatus Aminicenantota. RNAcentral also lists the same sequence under 1 other name. The record is from RNAcentral.
GGAGAGGUGCUGGAGUGGCUGAACAGGAUCGCCUGCUAAGCGAUUAUAUCGUCCAAAAACGGUAUCGAGGGUUCGAAUCCCUCCCUCUCCGCCA